Molecule: ribosomal RNA, 444 nt
Filed under: uncultured bacterium
Lineage: Bacteria
Description: partial 16S ribosomal RNA
Rfam family: Bacterial small subunit ribosomal RNA
Source: RNAcentral
CCUACGGGGAGCAGCAGUGGGGAAUAUUGGGCAAUGGAGGCAACUCUUACCCAGCAAUGCCGCGUGAAUGAAGAAGGUCUUCGGAUUGUAAAGUACUUUAAUUGGGGAGGAAAAAAAUGACGGUACUCAAGGAAUAAGCCCCGGCUACCUACGGGAGAGCAGCUGAGGUAAUACGUAGGGGCCAAGCGUUUUUCGGAAUGAGUGGGCGUAAAGGGUGUGUAGGCGUGGUAGCAAGGUCGAAGUGAAAUACCUAGAGGUUAAACCAGGUGUUGCUUCUAAAACGGCUAUACUUGAGUGCGGUAGAGGAGAGUAGAAUUCCUAGUGUAGCGGUGGAAUGCGUAGAGAUUAGGAGGAACAUCAGUGGCGAAGGCGACUUUCUGGACUGUAACUGACGCUGAGGCACGAAAGUGUGGGGAGCAAACAGGAUUAGAUACCCGAGUAGUC